Corticium candelabrum is the source of this 151-nucleotide long non-coding RNA. RefSeq lists it as uncharacterized. The transcript has 3 exons. Lineage: Eukaryota; Metazoa; Porifera; Homoscleromorpha; Homosclerophorida; Plakinidae. The record is from RefSeq and is a predicted model, not a curated record.
UGCGUCAGCGCAGCAUUGUAAUGAGUAGCAAACAUCAAUAGGGACUACUAGUUGUUUUAUGUCAGAAGAUAAUUCGCAAAUGGCCAGUAUUGAUGCACCAACUGGAGUAAUCAUGUCUGUGGCACUCGAUCUCUGAACUGCUAUACUGUAC